UCCAGAGGUCUCAAGCGUUGUUCGGAUUCCUUGGGCGUAAAGGGUGCGUAGGCGGCGCGGUAAGUCGGGUGUGAAAUCUCGGAGCUUAACUCCGAAACUGCAUUCGAUACUGCCGUGCUUGAGGACUGGAGAGGAGACUGGAAUUUACGGUGUAGCGGUGAAAUGCGUAGAUAUCGUAAGGAAGACCAGUGGCGAAGGCGGGUCUCUGGACAGUUCCUGACGCUGAGGCACGAAGGUCAGGGGAGCAAACGGG
This 253-nucleotide ribosomal RNA is filed under the name uncultured bacterium. RNAcentral describes it as "partial 16S ribosomal RNA". It matches the Rfam family "Bacterial small subunit ribosomal RNA", at positions 524 to 776 of the family's 1533-position model. The record is from RNAcentral.